GGCUGUUAGGGCGAUCUGACUGUGACGUCUGCCACCCCAUUGAUCUCCAGGGUUGAUUUGGCUGAUCCCUAUUGAUCACCAGGGUUGAUUUGACUGGUUAGGAGAGUGUCCCCUUCCUCCCUCACCCCUCCAUGUGUGUCCCUCCUGAAGCUGAGUGCUCAAUUGAAGAGGACACCCAUCCCCGCUAGAGAAGGACCAUUCGCUUCCCCUGCCAGGAUCUCCAGAAAGCAGCUCGAGGUUCAGACACGCUGCGGAAAGGCUGGGGAAUGAACACAGCACCUCUGAAAAUAUGGAGACCACCACACAGCUGGGCCAUAGGGCUGUGUCU
This 328-nucleotide small nuclear RNA is filed under the name Carlito syrichta (Philippine tarsier). Its description in RNAcentral is "7SK RNA (ENSTSYG00000027191.1)". The stretch from base 1 to 206 matches the Rfam family "7SK RNA". From Rfam's summary of the family: 7SK was discovered as an abundant small nuclear RNA in the mid-70s but a possible function has only recently been suggested. Two independent studies have found that 7SK RNA binds the CDK9/cyclin T complex (known as elongation factor P-TEFb). P-TEFb activates transcription by phosphorylating the C-terminal domain of RNA polymerase II. The record is from RNAcentral. Lineage: Eukaryota; Metazoa; Chordata; Mammalia; Primates; Tarsiidae.